CUAAUGGAGCUGCUGAAUGUGCCAACCAGUCUCUGGAGCAAUACCUUCGUUGUUUUGUGUCUCACCAUCAGGACAAUUGGUCUGACCUACUUCCUUGGGCUGAGUUUGCUCGGAAUAACGCCACUCAUGAUUCUUCCGGCAAAAGCCCUUUUUACGUUGUCUAUGGCCAGCAUCCCGUUGUUCUUCCGGCUGCAUUCUCCUCACAGGGCAUGCCAGUUCUGGAUG
Non-coding RNA from Pelobates cultripes (western spadefoot toad), 225 nucleotides. Lineage: Eukaryota; Metazoa; Chordata; Amphibia; Anura; Pelobatidae. The record is from the annotation of a GenBank genome assembly.